AAGUUGGCAAAACGGAUCCGUAACCUUGGGAUAAGGAUGGGCUCUGAGGACUGAGCCGGUCGGGCUGGGGACCUGAAGCAGGAAUGGCACUGCACCGGGACUGGGCGGGGCUCGCCGUUCACGCGGCGCGGCAAAGCCCGGACCAGCGUCGGGACCUUCCUGUGGAAAGCCUCAGCUGCGCGGCGUCCGAGGGCUUCGUGCCCAAAGUGCUAUGCUUCGGCCGGCAAAAAAAACAGUCAACUCAGAACUGGCACGGACCGGGGGAAUCCGACUGUCUAAUUAAAACAAAGCAUUGCGAUGGCUGCUGGUCGGUGUUGACGCAAUGUGAUUUCUGCCCAGUGCUCUGAAUGUCAAUGUGAAGAGAUUCAUCAAAGCGCGGGUAAACGGCGGGAGUAACUAUGACUCUCUUGUGUAAUGAAAUAGGAACGACCGUUCCACACAAUUGCGGUCGAGCUUCUCUG
This 461-nucleotide ribosomal RNA is filed under the name Ixodes scapularis (black-legged tick). RNAcentral describes it as "eukaryotic large subunit ribosomal RNA". It matches the Rfam family "Eukaryotic large subunit ribosomal RNA", at positions 1911 to 2321 of the family's 3401-position model. The record is from RNAcentral. Lineage: Eukaryota; Metazoa; Arthropoda; Arachnida; Ixodida; Ixodidae.